AAGGAUGCCCGCGUCCUCCGAGCCACCGCUCCCUCGGCUCAACGAGUUGGAGAGCGAGUUGGAGAGCGGGAAGAGGGUCAAAAAGCAAGACCUCUAGAAGUAAUACGAAGACUCUUUCAGGUGUAUCUGUCAGGGAAGGUACCUGCCAACCAAGUCCUAACUAUUUCACAGCACAGGAAACUGGAGUGCUGGACUGUUCCUUAAAAGCGACAGAUGGACCUGGGUUCUGCUUAUAACUUUGAGCAAGCCUCGGUUUCUUCAUAUGUAAGAUAAACGGCGAUAAUUAUUAUUAAUAACAUUGCACCCACUUCACUUGAUUGCUGCGAGAACAGAGAGAGCCAGAUGCAGGUGCCCCUUACAUAACAACCCCAGUAAAUUUAGAUCUGAGGCCUAGAGGGAGCCCUAGAGGCGGGCCUGCAGGUACCCAGCAAAGCAGGUUCCAGGCUACCUUUCUGCAGAGCGCUCCCCUCGACAGAAGUAAGACCUCCGAACUCUAAAGCUUCAAUUCUAGCUUCUUGGAGUCUACACACUUGCUACUCCAAGAGGUCCACAAACCAGCAGCACAUGGAAACCCAUUAAAAACGUGAAUCUCAGGCCCCAUCACAGAAUCUCUAAAUCAGGAGGCACACUUCAGAAUCUCUGGUGAUUCUGAUGUACAUCAAGUUUCUAAAAUUAAACUUUUGUAAACCUUGAGAAGGGGAAUAGGAAGUCGCUGAUCAGUAGUAGGCAAGAUUUGCCACUUAGGAUAUUUUAAAAACUGACUAGUAAAGUCCUUUUUCAUUUUACCCUCUGGCUAUUUUGUCUCUUUCCUUCCCCUCACUUUUCUGUCUUUUAACUAUAAAUCUGAAUUUAAGUUUCAAAAACUCUAGGUUAAAUCAAAGUGCUGAUUAGUGAAUAUAUGUUUAAAAUACACAAAAGAAGAAACAAGUCAGGCACGAUGGUGGACACCUGAAUUCCCAGCAUUUAGGAGGCUGAGGCAAAAUGAUAGCCAGGAGUUCAAGGCCAGCAGAGGCUACAUAGUGAGUUCAAACCCAGCCAAAUUACCUAGUGAGACCCUGUCUCAAACAAACACACAAUAGAGCUUAUGAAAGAAUUCAUUAGCAUUGAAAAUGAACCUAUAAAUGUAGGAGCAGGAGUGAGCCCUGAACUCUUGGCUGUCAAGGGCUUUAGAUUCAAGACUUGAAUGCCUUUGUGUUUCAGAAAAAACACUUCUCUCAGUUAUAUAUUGCUUUUCAGUGGCAAAUACAUUCCAUUUUCCAUUUAAAUAAUAUAGGACAACCAAUUCUUUUAAGAAGUUUUGGAGAAUAGAAAAGACUCCAGGCCUCCUUCUAAGUCGUCACUUACAGGGCCUCUAACAAAGCCCAAAGCAAAUAUUUUGUUCUGUUAAGUGCUGUGUCUGUUGUUUUAUUCUGAGAGUGUUCUCAGUUCCUUUGCCUGAUUCUAGCUCUGGCAGAAGGAGUUCAUCCUUUACAAAUCCAGUAAUUGUUGGUUGAUGUUGAUGACUGUUGUAGUCAGGGUUUGCUAGGGAAUAGAUUUAAUACUGGACACAUAAUUUACAGGAUUAUUUUAUAAUAUUCACCCAAAAAGUCAAAUGCAGAGGAGUGCAAGAGAUCUGUCCACACACAGAGACCUGAAGAACCCAGGG
Molecule: long non-coding RNA, 1645 nt
Organism: Heterocephalus glaber (naked mole-rat)
Lineage: Eukaryota; Metazoa; Chordata; Mammalia; Rodentia; Bathyergidae
Source: Ensembl